GGGUGAAAAGCCCGCUCGCCGGAAGACCAAGGGUUCCUGUCCAACGUUAAUCGGGGCAGGGUGAGUCGACCCCUAAGGCGAGGCCGAAAGGCGUAGUCGAUGGGAAACAGGUUAAUAUUCCUGUACUUGGUGUUACUGCGAAGGGGGGACGGAGAAGGCUAUGUUGGCCGGGCGACGGUUGUCCCGGUUUAAGCGUGUAGGCUGGUUUUCCAGGCAAAUCCGGAAAAUCAAGGCUGAGGCGUGAUGACGAGGCACUACGGUGCUGAAGCAACAAAUGCCCUGCUUCCAGGAAAAGCCUCUAAGCAUCAGGUAACAUCAAAUCGUACCCCAAACCGACACAGGUGGUCAGGUAGAGAAUACCAAGGCGCUUGAGAGAACUCGGGUGAAGGAACUAGGCAAAAUGGUGCCGUAACUUCGGGAGAAGGCACGCUGAUAUGUAGGUGAAGUCCCUCGCGGAUGGAGCUGAAAUCAGUCGAAGAUACCAGCUGGCUGCAACUGUUUAUUAAAAACACAGCACUGUGCAAACACGAAAGUGGACGUAUACGGUGUGACGCCUGCCCGGUGCCGGAAGGUUAAUUGAUGGGGUCAGCGCAAGCGAAGCUCUUGAUCGAAGCCCCGGUAAACGGCGGCCGUAACUAUAACGGUCCUAAGGUAGCGAAAUUCCUUGUCGGGUAAGUUCCGACCUGCACGAAUGGCGUAAUGAUGGCCAGGCUGUCUCCACCCGAGACUCAGUGAAAUUGAACUCGCUGUGAAGAUGCAGUGUACCCGCGGCAAGACGGAAAGACCCCGUGAACCUUUACUAUAGCUUGACACUGAACAUUGAGCCUUGAUGUGUAGGAUAGGUGGGAGGCUUUGAAGUGUGGACGCCAGUCUGCAUGGAGCCGACCUUGAAAUACCACCCUUUAAUGUUUGAUGUUCUAACGUUGACCCGUGAUCCGGGUUGCGGACAGUGUCUGGUGGGUAGUUUGACUGGGGCGGUCUCCUCCUAAAGAGUAACGGAGGAGCACGAAGGUUGGCUAAUCCUGGUCGGACAUCAGGAGGUUAGUGCAAUGGCAUAAGCCAGCUUGACUGCGAGCGUGACGGCGCGAGCAGGUGCGAAAGCAGGUCAUAGUGAUCCGGUGGUUCUGAAUGGAAGGGCCAUCGCUCAACGGAUAAAAGGUACUCCGGGGAUAACAGGCUGAUACCGCCCAAGAGUUCAUAUCGACGGCGGUGUUUGGCACCUCGAUGUCGGCUCAUCACAUCCUGGGGCUGAAGUAGGUCCCAAGGGUAUGGCUGUUCGCCAUUUAAAGUGGUACGCGAGCUGGGUUUAGAACGUCGUGAGACAGUUCGGUCCCUAUCUGCCGUGGGCGCUGGAGAACUGAGGGGGGCUGCUCCUAGUACGAGAGGACCGGAGUGGACGCAUCACUGGUGUUCGGGUUGUCAUGCCAAUGGCACUGCCCGGUAGCUAAAUGCGGAAGAGAUAAGUGCUGAAAGCAUCUAAGCACGAAACUUGCCCCGAGAUGAGUUCUCCCUGACUCCUUGAGAGUCCUGAAGGAACGUUGAAGACGACGACGUUGAUAGGCCGGGUGUGUAAGCGCAGCGAUGCGUUGAGCUAACCGGUACUAAUGAACCGUGAGGCUUAACCUU
RNAcentral lists this ribosomal RNA (1626 nucleotides) under Escherichia coli O104:H4 str. Ec11-9450. RNAcentral describes it as "bacterial LSU rRNA". It matches the Rfam family "Bacterial large subunit ribosomal RNA", at positions 1319 to 2925 of the family's 2925-position model. Lineage: Bacteria; Pseudomonadati; Pseudomonadota; Gammaproteobacteria; Enterobacterales; Enterobacteriaceae. The record is from RNAcentral.